This 301-nucleotide ribosomal RNA is filed under the name uncultured bacterium. RNAcentral describes it as "partial 16S ribosomal RNA". It matches the Rfam family "Bacterial small subunit ribosomal RNA", at positions 509 to 807 of the family's 1533-position model. The record is from RNAcentral.
CAGCCGCCGCGGUAAUACGAAGGGUGCAAGCGUUACUCGGAAUUACUGGGCGUAAAGCGUGCGUAGGUGGUGGUUUAAGUCCGUUGUGAAAGCCCUGGGCUCAACCUGGGAAUUGCAGUGGAUACUGGGUCACUAGAGUGUGGUAGAGGAUAGUGGAAUUUCCGGUGUAGCAGUGAAAUGCGUAGAGACCGGAAGGAACAUCUGUGGCGAAGGCGACUAUCUGGGCCAACACUGACACUGAGGCACGAAAGCGUGGGGAGCAAACAGGAUUAGAUACCCCCGUAGUCCCUGUCUCUUAUAC